Molecule: unclassified non-coding RNA, 224 nt
Filed under: root metagenome
Description: partial contains small subunit ribosomal RNA, internal transcribed spacer 1, and 5.8S ribosomal RNA
Source: RNAcentral
UUUCCGUAGGUGAACCUGCGGAAGGAUCAUUACUUUCAGUACUUGGGGGCUAUUAGCCUAUAUCACUAUAGCUUGCCCCUACCUGAACCCUUGUCUUUUGCGUACCUAUGUUUCCUCGGUGGGCUUGCCUGCCGACUGGACAAACUUAUAACCUUUUUAAUUUUCAAUCAGCGUCUGAAUAAACAUAAUAAUUACAACUUUCAACAACGGAUCUCUUGGUUCUG